CCUACGGGAGGCAGCAGUGAGGAAUAUUGGUCAAUGGGCGCAAGCCUGAACCAGCCAAGUAGCGUGCAGGACGACUGCCCUAUGGGUUGUAAACUGCUUUUAUACGGGAAUAAAGUGUGCCACGUGUGGUGUUUUGUAUGUACCGUAUGAAUAAGGACCGGCUAAUUCCGUGCCAGCAGCCGCGGUAAUA
RNAcentral lists this ribosomal RNA (190 nucleotides) under uncultured rumen bacterium. RNAcentral describes it as "partial 16S ribosomal RNA". It matches the Rfam family "Bacterial small subunit ribosomal RNA", at positions 338 to 525 of the family's 1533-position model. The record is from RNAcentral.